RNAcentral lists this ribosomal RNA (525 nucleotides) under uncultured Picocystis. RNAcentral describes it as "SSU rRNA". It matches the Rfam family "Eukaryotic small subunit ribosomal RNA", at positions 563 to 1092 of the family's 1831-position model. The record is from RNAcentral. Lineage: Eukaryota; Viridiplantae; Chlorophyta.
GGUGCCAGCAGCCGCGGUAAUUCCAGCUCCAAUAGCGUAUAUUUAAGUUGUUGCAGUUAAAAAGCUCGUAGUUGGAUUUCGGACGGGGACGACCGGUCCGCCGAACGGUGUGCACUGGUCGGUCCCGUCUUCCUGCCGAGGACGCGCGUCCUUCCUUCGUUGGAGGGGCCGCGGAGUCGGCGCAGUUACUUUGAAAAAAUUAGAGUGUUCAAAGCAAGCUUCACGCUGUGAAUACUAUAGCAUGGAAUAACGCGAUAGGACUCCGUGCCUAUUGUGUGGGUCUUCGGGACCGGAGUAAUGAUUAAUAGGGACAGUUGGGGGCAUUCGUAUUUCAUUGUCAGAGGUGAAAUUCUUGGAUUUAUGAAAGACGAACUUCUGCGAAAGCAUUUGCCAAGGAUGUUUUCAUUAAUCAAGAACGAAAGUUGGGGGCUCGAAGAUGAUUAGAUACCAUCCUAGUCUCAACCAUAAACGAUGCCGACUAGGGAUUGGCGGAUGUUCGUUCGAUGACUCCGCCAGCACCUUAUG